GACGAACGCUGGCGGCGUGCCUAAUACAUGCGAGUAGAACGCUGAAGAGAGGAGCUUGCUCUUCUUGGAUGAGUUGCGAACGGGUGAGUAACGCGUAGGUAACCUGCCUUGUAGCGGGGGAUAACUAUUGGAAACGAUAGCUAAUACCGCAUAACAAUGGAUGACACAUGUCAUUUAUUUGAAAGGGGCAAUUGCUCCACUACAAGAUGGACCUGCGUUGUAUUAGCUAGUAGGUGAGGUAAUGGCUCACCUAGGCGACGAUACAUAGCCGACCUGAGAGGGUGAUCGGCCACACUGGGACUGAGACACGGCCCAGACUCCUACGGGAGGCAGCAGUAGGGAAUCUUCGGCAAUGGGGGCAACCCUGACCGAGCAACGCCGCGUGAGUGAAGAAGGUUUUCGGAUCGUAAAGCUCUGUUGUAAGUCAAGAACGGGUGUGAGAGUGGAAAGUUCACACUGUGACGGUAGCUUACCAGAAAGGGACGGCUAACUACGUG
Molecule: ribosomal RNA, 497 nt
Filed under: uncultured bacterium
Lineage: Bacteria
Description: partial 16S ribosomal RNA
Rfam family: Bacterial small subunit ribosomal RNA
Source: RNAcentral